This 254-nucleotide ribosomal RNA is filed under the name uncultured bacterium. Its description in RNAcentral is "partial 16S ribosomal RNA". It matches the Rfam family "Bacterial small subunit ribosomal RNA", at positions 524 to 776 of the family's 1533-position model. The record is from RNAcentral.
UACGUAGGGGGCAAGCGUUGUCCGGAUUUAUUGGGCGUAAAGAGCGUGUAGGCGGCCAAGCAGGUCCGCUGUGGAAAACUCGAGGCUCAACCUCGAGACGUCGGUGGAAACCGUUUGGCUAGAGUCCGGAAGAGGAGAGUGGAAUUCCCGGUGUAGCGGUGAAAUGCGCAGAUAUCGGGAAGAACACCCGUGGCGAAGGCGGCGACCUGGUCCUUUACUGACGCUGAGGCGCGAAAGCGUGGGGAGCAAACAGG